CUACGGGGGGCUACAGUCACGAAUCUUCCGCAAUGGCCGAAAGGCUGACGGAGGGACGCCGCGUGCAUGAAGAAGCCCUUCGGGGUGUAAAGUGCUUUUCUGUUGGAUGAAUAAAUGACAGUACUUCAGGAAUAAGGGGCUGCUAACCUCGUGCCAGCAGCAGCGGUAAUACGAGGGGCCCCGAGCGUUAUCCGGAUUUAUUGGGCGUAAAGGGUCCGUAGGCGGUUUGUCGCAUCUCCUGUUAAAUCUUCAGGCUCAACCUGAAGGCCGCGGGAGAGAUGGAUAAACUAGAGGGCGGAAGAGGCAAGUGGAAUGGCUGGUGUAGGGGUUAAAUCCGUUAAUAUCAGCUGGAACACCAAAAGUGAAGACAGCUUGCUGGGACGAUUCUGACGCUAAGGGACGAAAGCGUGGGGAGCAAAGAGGAUUAGAUACCCUAGUAGUC
RNAcentral lists this ribosomal RNA (442 nucleotides) under uncultured bacterium. RNAcentral describes it as "partial 16S ribosomal RNA". It matches the Rfam family "Bacterial small subunit ribosomal RNA", at positions 339 to 795 of the family's 1533-position model. The record is from RNAcentral.